CCUACGGUAGGCAGCAGUGAGGAAUCUUGGUCAAUGGACGCAAGUCUGAACCAGCCAUGCCGCGUGCAGGAAGACGGCUCUAUGAGUUGUAAACUGCUUUUGUACGAGGGUAAACGCAGAUACGCGUAUCUGUCUGAAAGUAUCGUACGAAUAAGGAUCGGCUAACUCCGUGCCAGCAGCCGCGGUAAUACGGAGGAUUCAAGCGUUAUCCGGAUUUAUUGGGUUUAAAGGGUGCGUAGGCGGUCGGAUAAGUUAGAGGUGAAAUCCCGAGGCUCAACUUCGGAAUUGCCUCUGAUACGGUUCGGCUAGAGAGUAGUUGCGGUAGGCGGAAUGUAUGGUGUAGCGGUGAAAUGCUUAGAGAUCAUACAGAACACCGAUUGCGAAGGCAGCUUACCAAGCUACUUCUGACGUUGAGGCACGAAAGCGUGGGGAGCAAACAGGAUUAGAUACCCGGGUAGUC
RNAcentral lists this ribosomal RNA (460 nucleotides) under uncultured bacterium. RNAcentral describes it as "partial 16S ribosomal RNA". It matches the Rfam family "Bacterial small subunit ribosomal RNA", at positions 338 to 795 of the family's 1533-position model. The record is from RNAcentral.